Molecule: ribosomal RNA, 397 nt
Filed under: uncultured bacterium
Lineage: Bacteria
Description: partial 16S ribosomal RNA
Rfam family: Bacterial small subunit ribosomal RNA
Source: RNAcentral
AUACGAAGGGUGCAAGCGUUACUCGGAAUUACUGGGCGUAAAGCGUGCGUAGGUGGUUGUUUAAGUCUGUCGUGAAAGCCCUGGGCUCAACCUGGGAACUGCGAUGGAAACUGGGCGACUAGAGUGUGGUAGAGGGUAGCGGAAUUCCUGGCGUAGCAGUGAAAUGCGUAGAUAUCAGGAGGAACAUCCAUGGCGAAGGCAGCUACCUGGGCCAACACUGACACUGAGGCACGAAAGCGUGGGGAGCAAACAGGAUUAGAUACCCUGGUAGUCCACGCCCUAAACGAUGCGAACUGGAUGUUGGGUGCACUUUGGCACGCAGUAUCGAAGCUAACGCGUUAAGUUCGCCGCCUGGGGAGUACGGUCGCAAGACUGAAACUCAAAUGAAUUGACGGGG